Molecule: ribosomal RNA, 305 nt
Filed under: uncultured bacterium
Lineage: Bacteria
Description: bacterial SSU rRNA
Rfam family: Bacterial small subunit ribosomal RNA
Source: RNAcentral
UAACUCCUACGGGGGGCAGCAGUGGGGAAUAUUGGGCAAUGGGCGCAAGCCUGACCCAGCAACGCCGCGUGAAGGAAGAAGGCUUUCGGGUUGUAAACUUCUUUUGACAGGGAAGAGUAGAAGACGGUACCUGUCGAAUAAGCCACGGCUAACUACGUGCCAGCAGCCGCGGUAAUACGUAGGGGGCAAGCGUUAUCCGGAUUUACUGGGUGUAAAGGGAGCGUAGACGGCAUUGCAAGUCCGGAGUGAAAGCCCACGGCCCAACCGUGGGACUGCUCUGGACACUGUAGAGAUGGAGUGCGGGG